GACGAACCGUGCGAACGUUAUUCGGAAUUACUGGGCUUAAAGCGCGUGUAGGCGGGCCGGCACGUCCGACGCUGAAAGCCCCCGGCUCAACCGGGAAGUGGCGGGGAUACGACCGGCCUCGAGGGGGUAGAGGGACCUGGAACUUCCGGUGGAGCGGUGAAAUGCGUUGAGAUCGGAAGGAACGCCCGUGGCGAAAGCGAGGUCCUGGACCCUUCUGACGCUGAGACGCGAAAGCCGG
Molecule: ribosomal RNA, 238 nt
Filed under: uncultured bacterium
Lineage: Bacteria
Description: partial 16S ribosomal RNA
Rfam family: Bacterial small subunit ribosomal RNA
Source: RNAcentral